RNAcentral lists this transfer RNA (94 nucleotides) under Felis catus (domestic cat). It matches the Rfam family "tRNA". Rfam says of the family: Transfer RNA (tRNA) molecules are approximately 80 nucleotides in length. Lineage: Eukaryota; Metazoa; Chordata; Mammalia; Carnivora; Felidae. The record is from Rfam by way of RNAcentral.
GCCUGGGUGGCUCAGUCAGUUGAGCGCCUGACUCCAGCUCAGGUCAUCAUCUCCGUGAACUCACGGUUCGUGAGUUCAAGCCCCACAUCGGGCU